RNAcentral lists this ribosomal RNA (360 nucleotides) under Mantidactylus melanopleura. RNAcentral describes it as "partial 16S ribosomal RNA". The record is from RNAcentral. Lineage: Eukaryota; Metazoa; Chordata; Amphibia; Anura; Mantellidae.
GACCUCCAAGUAGGGGCGACAAACCUACCGCACUUAGAGAUAGCUGGUUACUCAAGAAAAGAAUUUAAGUUCAACCUAAAGUUUUCUAAUUACACAAAAAUACAAUAAAACUUUAGAGCUACUCAAAUAAGGCACAGCUUAUUUGAAAUAGGACCCAACCUACAACAUCGGGUAAUAUAAACAAGCAAGUAACAAGUGGGCCUAAGAGCAGCCACCUACAAAAAGCGUUAAAGCUUAAUACUUAAACUGUAUUAAUACCACCACUACCCUAGAACCCCCCACCAAUAUUGAGUAAUUCCAUAAACAUAUGGAAGCUAUUAUGCUAGAAUGAGUAACAAGAAAUAGCUUUUCUCCUAAAUG